CGAGCGCGCCUUCGGGUGAGCGGCGGACGGGUUAGUAACGCGUGGGAACGUGCCCUUCUCUACGGAAUAGCCUCUGGAAACGGAGAGUAAUACCGUAUACGCCCUUUGGGGGAAAGAUUUAUCGGAGAAGGAUCGGCCCGCGUUAGAUUAGGUAGUUGGUGGGGUAACGGCCUACCAAGCCUACGAUCUAUAGCUGGUUUUAGAGGAUGAUCAGCAACACUGGGACUGAGACACGGCCCAGACUCCUACGGGAGGCAGCAGUGGGGAAUCUUAGACAAUGGGGGCAACCCUGAUCUGGCCAUGCCGCGUGAGUGAUGAAGGCCUUAGGGUCGUAAAGCUCUUUCGCCUGUGAUGAUAAUGACAGUAGCAGGUAAAGAAACCCCGGCUAACUCCGUGCCAGCAGCCGCGGUAAUACGGAGGGGGUUAGCGUUGUUCGGAAUUACUGGGCGUAAAGCGCGCGUA
RNAcentral lists this ribosomal RNA (462 nucleotides) under uncultured bacterium. Its description in RNAcentral is "bacterial SSU rRNA". It matches the Rfam family "Bacterial small subunit ribosomal RNA", at positions 63 to 573 of the family's 1533-position model. The record is from RNAcentral.